This 468-nucleotide ribosomal RNA is filed under the name uncultured bacterium. RNAcentral describes it as "partial 16S ribosomal RNA". It matches the Rfam family "Bacterial small subunit ribosomal RNA", at positions 28 to 507 of the family's 1533-position model. The record is from RNAcentral.
GACGAACGCUGGCGGCGUGCUUAACACAUGCAAGUCGAACGGAAAGGCCCUGCUUUUGUGGGGUGCUCGAGUGGCGAACGGGUGAGAAACACGUGAGUAACCUGCCCUUGACUGUGGGAUAACUUCAGGAAACUGGGGCUAAUACCGGAUAGAAGCUCCUGCUGCAUGGUGGGGGUUGGUAAGUUUCGGCGGUUGGGGAUGGACUCGCGGUUUAUCAGCUUGUUGGUGGGGUAGUGGCUUACCAAGGCAUUGACGGGUAGCCGGCCUGAGAGGGUGACCGGCCACAUUGGGACUGAGGUGCGGCCCAGACUGCUACGGGAGGCAGAAGUGGGGAAUAGUGCACGAUGGGCGGAGGCCUGAUGCAGCGACGCCGGGUGCGGGAUGACGGCCUUCGGGUUGUAAACCGCUUUCGCCUGUGACGAUGCGUGAGUGACGGUAAUGGGUAAAGAAGCACCGGCUAACUACGUG